This 229-nucleotide ribosomal RNA is filed under the name uncultured bacterium. Its description in RNAcentral is "partial 16S ribosomal RNA". It matches the Rfam family "Bacterial small subunit ribosomal RNA", at positions 568 to 796 of the family's 1533-position model. The record is from RNAcentral.
UGCGUAGGCGGGCUAAUAAGUCAGUGGUGAAAUCUUCCGGCUCAACCGGGAACCUACCAUUGAUACUGUUAGUCUUGAGUUCGGUUGAGGUAGGCGGAAUGUGUAAUGUAGCGGUGAAAUGCUUAGAUAUUACACAGAACACCAAUUGCGUAGGCAGCUUACUAGACCGACACUGACGCUGAGGCACGAAAGCGUGGGGAGCGAACAGGAUUAGAUACCCUGGUAGUCC